Molecule: long non-coding RNA, 1367 nt
Filed under: Papio anubis (olive baboon)
Lineage: Eukaryota; Metazoa; Chordata; Mammalia; Primates; Cercopithecidae
Description: lncRNA (ENSPANG00000042454.1)
Source: RNAcentral
AUGGUUAGAAAAUGUCAUGUCAUUUAUUUUUCACAACAGGCCUGUGAAGUGGUUGCUGCUAUUCUGACCACGUUGUACAUCAAAGGCUGGGCACGAAGAAGCUGUACAGAGUCCGUUGGGAUUGAUGGCUGGGAUGUAACAAAAACGAAACUUGCCAAGACUUUGUAGUGGCUUUGCCUAUAAAAGCAGCAAUCCACCAACGCCUUGUUAUGGAGUACCUGAUUAUCAUUAUGACAGAAAUGUGGAGCCCAAAGAUCUUACUUUAAUGAGCCUUUCUCAUUUGGAGAACUUACUUUGGCUUGGGUUUGUCCAAAAAUACUUUGCUCUUUUAAGACCACAGUACCUAAUUUAGCAGCUCAUUAUACUUUACUGCAAAUGACACUGUGUUCUUAUGUCUAUAUGUUAUUUCAGUUAGUACUUGAUCUCCUACACAUUUGACUUGCAUGAGUUUUCUAAUAUUUCCUUAGACACACAAUAUUAUCUGUAUGACACAUUUAGGUAACUUUUGGUAACAGAUUCAGUUAAGCAUCAUGGUGUAGCUCUCUUACAAUCAAGGUCAAACACUGGCUCAUAGGUUUUCAUAUCAUAGUAAAAAUCUAAAAGAAAAUUUCAUUUUUCCUUCUCUCUCACUUCUCUUCUCCUAAUCACCCUAUCUAUAAAUUGUAAUUUUAUCAAGCCUAUCACAAAAAAAGUGCAAAAUAAUCAAUUGUAUAUUUGUAUAUCAAGGGAAUAUUGUCUGGAAUUAUUUUUGGCAAAGGAAGGAAUGUUAAAUUAUCCACCAAAACUAGCUGAUAUGGGAAAAUGCGGAUAUUACCUAUUCUCCAAUUACUAUCAGCUUUGGUACUUUUUUCUGUGUGUGCAUCUGUGUAUAAUGGGGGGUGGGGGUGGAGGGUGUCAAGAAAGAGAGAGAUAAUCUUGUUGCAGAGAAAAAUAAUUUUCACCUGAAACACAUACAAAUAAGAGGUUACCCUCUCAAGUAAUCCAAGAUUACUUAAAAGUUUAGUAACCCAUCUGGUUUUAUUGCAUGAUGCUCUGGUUUAAUUGCCAGGUUGUUCACUUUUGACAUCACUGCCAGAAAGUUUAGACUAAAAUUUCUGGCUCACACCCAUAUUAAAUGUGUUGCUCAUUAUAGUUUGAAGAAUUAGCCUUAUUUAUGUUUCUAUCUCAGAUCCACUCUUUUACAGUUUUUAUUUCUUUGUCCACAUUUAACCUAGGCUACUUUAUGAUAUUUUAUUGAGCUGUACAAGUCGCUUAAUAAGCCUUCUGAAAUUCUUUCUAGAACAAGGUGGAAUAUAAUACAUAGACAGUCAAUGUGAAGAUUCUGAAAUCCUGAGUAAUUAUCCCAUAUACCAACUUCAUCCUUUUUA